GAUGAACGCUGGCGGCGUGCCUAAUACAUGCAAGUCGAGCGAACAGAUGAGGAGCUUGCUCCUCUGACGUUAGCGGCGGACGGGUGAGUAACACGUGGAUAACCUCCCUAUAAGACUGGGAUAACUUCGGGAAACCGGAGCUAAUACCGUAUAAUAUAUUGAACCGCAUGGUUCAAUAGUGAAAGACGGUUUUGCUGUCACUUCUAGCUGGAUCCGCGCCGCAUUAGCUAGUUGGUAAGGUAACGGCUUACCAAGGCAACGAUGCGUAGCCGACCUGAGAGGGUGAUCGGCCACACUGGAACUGAGACACGGUCCAGACUCCUACGGGAGGCAGCAGUAGGGAAUCUUCCGCAAUGGGCGAAAGCUUGACGGAGCAACGCCGCGUGAGUGAUGAAGGUCUUCGGAUCGUAAAACUCUGUUAUUAGGGAAGAACAAAUGUGUAAGUAACUAUGCACGUCUUGACGGUACCUAAUCAGAAAGCCACGGCUAACUACGUG
This 497-nucleotide ribosomal RNA is filed under the name uncultured bacterium. RNAcentral describes it as "partial 16S ribosomal RNA". It matches the Rfam family "Bacterial small subunit ribosomal RNA", at positions 28 to 507 of the family's 1533-position model. The record is from RNAcentral.